RNAcentral lists this ribosomal RNA (699 nucleotides) under Cladochytrium replicatum. RNAcentral's name for it is "partial large subunit ribosomal RNA". It matches the Rfam family "Eukaryotic large subunit ribosomal RNA", at positions 189 to 832 of the family's 3401-position model. Lineage: Eukaryota; Fungi; Chytridiomycota; Chytridiomycetes; Cladochytriales; Cladochytriaceae. The record is from RNAcentral.
CCUGGAAAGGCACAUCAUAGAGGGUGAGAAUCCCGUCUGUGGUCCAGCUCUGCUCCUAUGUGAUACGUUUUCUAAGAGUCGGGUUGUUUGGGAUUGCAGCCCUAAAUGGGUGGUAAAUACCAUCUAAAGCUAAAUACUAGCGAGAGACCGAUAGCGAACAAGUACCGUGAGGGAAAGAUGAAAAGAACUUUGAAAAGAGAGUUAAACAGUACGUGAAAUUGUCAGAAGGGAACGGCUUGAAACCAGUCUUGCGUCUGGAAUUCAGCCUCUCUAACGAGGGGUGCAAUUCGCUAGAUGCAGGUCAGCGUCAGUUUGAGGAGGGGGAAAAAGACUAGAGAAGGUGGCCUUCGGGUGUUAUAGCUCUGGUUUCUACCCCUCUUUGGAACUGAGGGCCGCGGCGUGAUACGGGGUUGAUGGGUUCCGGUGACCUACUGGUAAACUGCAUGCAGAUUGCUAGCAAGGCUUGCUUGAUUCCCUUUAGCUCCACACGUCUAGGAUGCUGACGAAAUGGUCUCAAACCACCCGUCUUGAAACACGGACCAAGGAGUCUAACGUAUAUGCGAGUGUAUGGGUGUCAAACCCCUGCGCGUAAUGAAAGUGAAACUGGUGUGAACCUUCGGGUGCAACAUCGACCGGUCUGGAUUUUUUUGAUAGAUCUGAGUAAGAGCAUAUACGCUAGGACCCGAAAGAUGGUGAACU